Molecule: long non-coding RNA, 337 nt
Filed under: Macaca nemestrina (pig-tailed macaque)
Lineage: Eukaryota; Metazoa; Chordata; Mammalia; Primates; Cercopithecidae
Description: lncRNA (ENSMNEG00000046080.1)
Source: RNAcentral
AGAUAAUUCCUCUCUUCGGGUUUGAUAUGCAUAUUAAGAGGAUAAAUUGUACAUGUGAUCUUGGGCAAAAUUCAGGGCUGUAGGACAUAAGAAGAGCUUCCAUUUUCUAGCUUUUCAUCCUGUAUUUCUUUCAUAGGUCAUCAAACACAGGCAUGCCAGAAUUCUGGAAAACAAAGUAAAUGGAUAUUUGUUUUUUCUCCCUCAGCCAAGACCAUCCUCAAGGAGGUUAAUGAAUGUGGCACCACAAGAAAAAUAUGCAUCAACAUUGAAAAGUAAGAUGAAUUAUUUUACCUGGUAGUAUUUUUUUUGUUAAUUAUACUUUAUUUGUUUACAUUAA